UCCGUGCCGCAGUUAACACAAUAAGUAUUCCACCUGGGGAGUACGACCGCAAGGUUGAAACUCAAAGGAAUUGACGGGGGCCCGCACAAGCAGUGGAUUAUGUGGUUUAAUUCGACGCAACGCGAAGAACCUUACCAGGAUUUGACAUCCCACUAACGAAGUAGAGAUACAUUAGGUGCCCUUCGGGGAAAGUGGAGACAGGUGGUGCAUGGUUGUCGUCAGCUCGUGUCGUGAGAUGUUGGGUUAAGUCCCGCAACGAGCGCAACCCUUAUUGUUAGUUGCUACGCAAGAGCACUCUAGCGAGACUGCCGUUGACAAAACGGAGGAAGGCGGGGACGACGUCAAAUCAUCAUGCCCCUUAUGUCCUGGGCUACACACGUAAUACAAUGGCGGUCAACAAAGCGAAGCAAAGCCGCGAGGUGGAGCAAAUCGCAAAAAGCCGUCCCAGUUCGGAUUGCAGGCUGCAACUCGCCUGCAUGAAGUUGGAAUUGCUAGUAAUCGUGGAUCAGCAUGCCACGGUGAAUACGUUCCCGGGCCUUGACAC
RNAcentral lists this ribosomal RNA (544 nucleotides) under uncultured bacterium. RNAcentral's name for it is "bacterial SSU rRNA". It matches the Rfam family "Bacterial small subunit ribosomal RNA", at positions 840 to 1388 of the family's 1533-position model. The record is from RNAcentral.